Molecule: ribosomal RNA, 480 nt
Filed under: uncultured bacterium
Lineage: Bacteria
Description: bacterial SSU rRNA
Rfam family: Bacterial small subunit ribosomal RNA
Source: RNAcentral
UUGAACGCUGGCGGCAUGCCUUACACAUGCAAGUCGAACGGUAACAGGUCUUCGGAUGCUGACGAGUGGCGAACGGGUGAGUAAUACAUCGGAACGUACCCAGUUGUGGGGGAUAGCCCGGCGAAAGCCGGAUUAAUACCGCAUAAGUCCUGAGGGAGAAAGCGGGGGACCGUAAGGCCUCGCGCGAUUGGAGCGGCCGAUGUUCGAUUAGCUAGUUGGUGGGGUAAAGGCCUACCAAGGCGACGAUCGAUAGCUGGUCUGAGAGGACGACCAGCCACUCUGGAACUGAGACACGGUCCAGACUCCUACGGGAGGCAGCAGUGGGGAAUUUUGGACAAUGGGCGCAAGCCUGAUCCAGCCAUGCCGCGUGAGUGAAGAAGGCCUUCGGGUUGUAAAGCUCUUUCAGACGGAAAGAAAUCGGGCGCGUGAAUAGCGUGCCUGGAUGACGGUACUGUCAGAAGAAGCACCGGCUAACUACGU